CUUGGACUGCGUAAGGCGCGUGAAGCACAUGCAGCAGCUGAAAGGCCCGCUCGCACGCCCGCUACGCCUGACAAGCAGGCCCCGCCCGCUCCGAUGCUAGGCGGCGAGCUGUCCCUCAUUCCCAUCGAGCAACUCAUACAAGUGGAAGACGUCAAGCCACGCCCCACGUAAACUUUUAUAUGUAUCUCUACCACAAACUAUGUAUGUAUUAAAAUUACCUAGUAUGUUCUGUUAAUCGAAGAAAAUAAUUUACUUACCUGUUCAAAGAAUAUUAAUAAACCAGGAAAACGUCAAACCACGUUCCAAAUAAAGUUUUGUAUCUGUCUUCUACCACAGACUGCGUAUGUAUAAUGCAGCCAUAUUAAAAAAAACCGAUGUUCUAUUAUACAGGGUGUCCCAAAAAGUAGUGUCAAGCCGAAGCCCAGAGCGGAGCAUCUCUAGGGCUACCCAUAUCACCGCGACUUUUGAUAGUUUUCGAGUUAUGUUUUUUUAAACAACAUACAGGAUUUUAGUUUACAUUCGUGUUAUGGAUUUAAAUACUUCUGAAUCAGUUAGGCCUAGUUUUCAUCUAAUAAUAAUUUAAAAAUCAGGCAUGCAACUUGACUAUUCGCGCCACAGCGUCCAAAAAAGUGUCUAAGCACAGAAAUUUAAAACAAUCAUAACUCGAAAACUAUCAAAAAUCGCGGAACAUACAUGGGGGUGAUUUGGAUAGCCCUAGUGACGAUCACCUCUAGGCUUCGGCUUGACACUACUUUUUGGGACUCCUGUAUAAAAUUCUUUGAAUUCUGUGGCUGAUUCUUGUCAACAGGAUCGUAUACGUGUUCGCUAAAAUGUAUGUCUUAUUUAAUUCUGGCAACCCCAGUAUAAAAAGUGGCAUGUGGCAAUUACUACACCACUGAAGGCAAUUACUAUACUGGUAAAACUGAAAUACAAACAAAAUCCAUAAAGAAAAUAGAACUGACGUCUAUUUAAGGCAUGAACUAAUCUUAGAUAGAGUAGAUUGUAAAAUGUACUAAACAUUUUUUAUUGUCGCUGUUGGUUGUAUUUGUAGCUAAACGUAAUGUACCAAAGAGUUUAUCUAUAUUUGUUUAACUUAGGUAAUAGCUUUUUUCUAGUUACGAAGAAGUUUUUAAGAAAUGAA
This is a long non-coding RNA of Ostrinia nubilalis (European corn borer), 1141 nucleotides long. RefSeq lists it as uncharacterized. The transcript is spliced from 2 exons. The record is from RefSeq and is a predicted model, not a curated record. Lineage: Eukaryota; Metazoa; Arthropoda; Insecta; Lepidoptera; Crambidae.